UUUAAAUUAAAACAGUAUUAGAGUGGAAAUCUAGAUUAUAUAAUAAAAAAGGGCGUACUAUAACGAAAAUUAAUUAUUUAAUUCCCUAAAAGAAAACUUUAUGAUUAAAAUAAAAUUACGCGAUGAACUGAAACAUCUAAAUAGUCGCAGGAAAAAAAAUCAACCGAGAUUUCGUAAGUAGUGGCGAGCGAACGCGAAAAAGAUUUAACUAAAAAACCUAUUUUUUAAACGGAAUGAAAUUUCCGGCAGUAUAGGGUUAAAGCCCCGUAAAAAAAUAAUUUUAGUUGUUAAGUAAAACAAAACACGAGAAAUUUUGUUUGAAGAAAGGGGGACCACCCUCUAAAUCUAAAUAUUAUUAUAAAAUCGAUAGUGUACAAGUACCGUAAGGGAAUGAUGUAAGAAUUUUGAAAAAUUGAAACCUAAUACUUAUAAGCAGUUGAAGUAAAUAUCAAUUUAUAACAACGUACCUUUUGCAUAAUGGGUCAGCAAGUAAAUAAAAAUAGCAAGCUUAAAAUAGGAGGCAAAAUGAAGGUGAUAAUUUUAUAUUAAGUUAUUUUUAUUUGACCCGAAACCAAGUGAUCUAUCCAUGAGCAGGCUGAAUUUACUUUAAAAGGUAAUGGAGGGCCGAACUCACAUCUGUAGCAAAAGAUGGGGAAGACUUGUGGAUAGGGGUGAAAGGCUAAUCAAACUUGGACAUAGCUGGUUUUCCGCGAAAUCUAUUUAGGUAGAGCGUUUUAAUUUAUUUUUAUGGGGUAAAGCACUAAAUAAGCUAGGGGGGCCCAAAGCUUUACCAAACUUAAUUAAACUCAGAAUACAUAAUUAAAUAUUUAAAACAGACAGACGUUGGGUGCUAAGGUCCAACGUCAAAAGGGAAACAGCCCAGAUUGUAAAUUAAGGUCCCAAAAUAAAGACUAAGUGAAAAAAGGAUGUUCAUUAACCAAAACAACCAAAAGGUGGGCCUAGAAUCAGCCAUCCUUUAAUGAAAGCGUAAAAGCUCAUUGGUCUUUUUUUAAUAAUUAUAUUAAAAAGGUUUUUGAGCACCGAAAAUGUAACGGGGCUAAAGUCUUUUACCGAAAUUACAAAAUAUUUUAAUAUAAUAUCAUUGUUAAAAUAUUGGUAGCGGAACGUUGUAUAUAUUGAUUAAAUGUUAUUGUAAAAUAACAGGCAAAUAUUACAAGUGAGAAUGCUGACAUGAGUAGCGUCAAAAUAAAGUAUUUAAACUUUAUCACCGAAAGCCUAAGGGUUUCUACGAAAGGAUUAACCGCGUAAGAGUUAUACAGUCCCUAAAAAGAGUACAUUUGUAUAAUUUGAUGGGGUUAAAAUAUAAAAAUUUUUUUAACGAAAUAAGUGACGAAAUUUUCAUGUAUUCUUUUUUAUAAUUAAUGUUUACAUUAAAUUUCCAGGAAAUAACUAUUUCAUGUUAAUACUGUACCCUAAACCGACACAGGUGGGCAAGUAGAACAUACUAAGGUGAAUGAGAGAAUUAUGUUGAAGGAACUCGGCAAAUUGACUCUGUAACUUCGGGAGAAAGAGUACCUAUUUUAUUAUAGGUAGCAUAAAAUAGGGGGUAGCGACUGUUUACUAAAAACACAGGACUCUGCAAAAUUAAAAAAAUGAUGUAUAGGGUCUGACACCUGCCCGGUGCCAGCAAGUAAAAAGGCGGGGUACAAGCCCCAAAUAUAAGCUCUGGUAAACGGCGGCCGUAACUAUAACGGUCCUAAGGUAGCGAAAUUCCUUGGCGGGUAAGUUCCGUCCUGCACGAAUGGUGUAACGACUUCCCCACUGUCUCCAACAUAAACUCAGCGAAAUUGGAAUCUCCGUGAAGAUACGGAGUAUCAACAGCUAGACGGAAAGACCCCAUACACCUUUACUGCACUCAUUUAUUGCUCAAAAAUUUUUUAUGUGUAGAGUAGGUAGGAGCUUAUUAGAUUUUAACGCAAGUUAACUAUUUAAGCAUUAAUGAAACACUACCCAAAAAAUAUUUUUGAUCUAAUAUAAUUUUUUAUAGACAGUAUAUGAUUGGUAGUUUCACUGGGGCGGUGGCCUCCUAAAGAGUAACGGAGGCGUACGAAGGCAAAUUCAAAUAAGUUGGAAACUUAUUUUAGAGCGCAAUGGUAUAUAUUUGCUUGACUGUAAGGCAUACAAGCCAAACAGAAAUGAUAUAAAUUUUUAUAUUGUUGGUCAUAGUGAUCCGGUGAUACUUUGUGGAAAGAUCAUCGCUCAACGGAUAAAAGGUACGUUGGGGAUAACAGGCUAAUGACCCUCUAGAGCUCUUAUCGACGGGGUUGUUUGGCACCUCGAUGUCGGCUCAUCACAUCCUGGAGCUGAAAAAGGUUCCAAAGGUUGCCCUGUUCGGGCAUUAAAGUGGUACGUGAGCUGGGUUUAGAACGUCGUGAGACAGUUUGGUCCCUAUCUACUGUUGAUUUUAAGAGAAAAUAAAGAGUCUGUUCUUAGUACGAGAGGACCAGAAUGGAUUGACCUAUUGUGGAUUGGUUGUAUAUUUGUUAUAUGCAUAGCCAAGUAGCUACGUCGAGAAAAAAUAAUUACUGAAAGUAUCUAAGUAAGAAAUUUUUCUUUUGCUUCUCUUAGUUAAGUUAAAGAUCAUAACUUUAAUAGGCUUUUUAUGUAAAAUAAAGUAAUUUAUAAAGUAAAAAAGUACUAAUAAAACAUAUAAUUUAAAAA
This 2682-nucleotide ribosomal RNA is filed under the name Cyanophora sudae. RNAcentral describes it as "large subunit ribosomal RNA". It matches the Rfam family "Bacterial large subunit ribosomal RNA". The record is from RNAcentral. Lineage: Eukaryota; Glaucocystophyceae; Cyanophorales; Cyanophoraceae.